Molecule: ribosomal RNA, 232 nt
Filed under: uncultured bacterium
Lineage: Bacteria
Description: partial 16S ribosomal RNA
Rfam family: Bacterial small subunit ribosomal RNA
Source: RNAcentral
UACAGGGGGUGCAAGCGUUGUUCGGAAUUAUUGGGCGUAAAGCGCGUGUAGGCGGACCACUAAGUCUGGUGUGAAAUCCCUCGGCUUAACCGAGGACGUGCAUUGGAUACUGGUGGCCUUGAGUCCUGGAGAGGGUAGCGGAAUUCCCAGUGUAGAGGUGAAAUUCGUAGAUAUGCGGAGGAACACCGAUGGCGAAGGCAAUCCCCUGGGCCUGCACUGACGCUCAUGCACG